AAAGAGUAUGUAGGCGGCUAGAUAAGUUAAUUGUGAAAGCCCAAAGCUUAACUUUGGAAUUGCAAUUAAAACUAUUUAGCUGGAGUAUGAUAGAGGAAAGCGGAAUACAUAGUGUAGAGGUGAAAUUCGUAGAUAUUAUGUAGAACACCAGUUGCGAAGGCGGCUUUCUGGAUCAUUACUGACGCUGAGAUACGAAAGUAUGGGUAGCGAAGAGGAUUAGAUACCCGAGU
RNAcentral lists this ribosomal RNA (230 nucleotides) under uncultured bacterium. RNAcentral describes it as "partial 16S ribosomal RNA". It matches the Rfam family "Bacterial small subunit ribosomal RNA", at positions 562 to 791 of the family's 1533-position model. The record is from RNAcentral.